Molecule: long non-coding RNA, 285 nt
Filed under: Ananas comosus (pineapple)
Lineage: Eukaryota; Viridiplantae; Streptophyta; Magnoliopsida; Poales; Bromeliaceae
Description: long non-coding RNA (ACOM_LNC025936)
Source: RNAcentral
UUUCUUACUGACAAAGGGCCGGUUUAGCCUAGCUUUUGAAAAAGUGAUUUCUGAAAAAGUGAUUUUGGUUAAAAACUGUAGAGCGUUUGACGGAGUUUAGAUAAAAGUAAUUUUUCUGAAGUGAUUUUGAAAAGCUGUUUGGCAAAAUUUUUUUUAAAGUUUGCAUAAAUUAAUAUCUUUAUUAAUUUUUAUUUUAAAAUAAUUUAAAAUCUAAAUUUAAAUUUGAAUUAAAAUUAAAAUAUUUAAAUUUUCUUUGCACUGAUCAAAUUUAUUAUGCAUUACUAA